UGGGGAAUUUUGGACAAUGGGCGAAAGCCUGAUCCAGCAAUGCCGCGUGAGUGAAGAAGGCCUUCGGGUUGUAAAGCUCUUUUGUCAGGGAAGAAACGGUGAGAGCUAAUAUCUUUUGCUAAUGACGGUACCUGAAGAAUAAGCACCGGCUAACUACGUGCCAGCAGCCGCGGUAAUACGUAGGGUGCAAGCGUUAAUCGGAAUUACUGGGCGUAAAGCGUGCGCAGGCGGUUUUGUAAGUCUGAUGUGAAAUCCCCGGGCUCAACCUGGGAAUUGCAUUGGAGACUGCAAGGCUAGAAUCUGGCAGAGGGGGGUAGAAUUCCACGUGUAGCAGUGAAAUGCGUAGAUAUGUGGAGGAACACCGAUGGCGAAGGCAGCCCCCUGGGUCAAGAUUGACGCUCAUGCACGAAAGCGUGGGGAGCAAACAGGAUUAGAUACCCUGGUAGUCCACGCCCUAAACGAUGUCUACUAGUUGUCGGGUCUUAAUUGACUUGGUAACGCAGCUAACGCGUGAAGUAGACCGCCUGGGGAGUACGGUCGCAAGAUUAAAACUCAAAUGAUUGNCGGGGGUAUAGCUGUUUCCUG
This 585-nucleotide ribosomal RNA is filed under the name uncultured bacterium. Its description in RNAcentral is "partial 16S ribosomal RNA". It matches the Rfam family "Bacterial small subunit ribosomal RNA", at positions 355 to 1383 of the family's 1533-position model. The record is from RNAcentral.